UGGGGAUGUAGCUCAGUCAUGUAGAGUGCUUGCCUAGCAUGCACAAGGCCCUGGGUUCAAUCCCCAACAUGAA
This 73-nucleotide transfer RNA is filed under the name Marmota monax (woodchuck). RNAcentral describes it as "tRNA.Ala". The record is from RNAcentral. Lineage: Eukaryota; Metazoa; Chordata; Mammalia; Rodentia; Sciuridae.